RNAcentral lists this unclassified non-coding RNA (344 nucleotides) under soil metagenome. RNAcentral's name for it is "partial contains 5.8S ribosomal RNA, internal transcribed spacer 2, and large subunit ribosomal RNA". The stretch from base 1 to 120 matches the Rfam family "5.8S ribosomal RNA", at positions 35 to 154 of the family's 154-position model. The record is from RNAcentral.
GAUGAAGUACGCAGCGAAAUGCGAUAAGUAAUGUGAAUUGCAGAAUUCAGUGAAUCAUCGAAUCUUUGAACGCACAUUGCGCCCGCCAGUAUUCUGGCGGGCAUGCCUGUUCGAGCGUCAUUUCAACCCUCAAGCCCCCGGGCUUGGUGUUGGGGAUCGGCGUGCCCUCGCGGCGCGCCGUCCCCUAAAUCUAGUGGCGGUCUCGCUGUAGCUUCCUCUGCGUAGUAGCAACACUCGCACUGGAUCGCAGCGCGGCCACGCCGUUAAACCCCCCACUUCUGAAAGUUUGACCUCGGAUCAGGUAGGAAUACCCGCUGAACUUAAGCAUAUCAAUAAGCGGAGGA